Molecule: ribosomal RNA, 653 nt
Filed under: uncultured Alphaproteobacteria bacterium
Lineage: Bacteria; Pseudomonadati; Pseudomonadota; Alphaproteobacteria
Description: bacterial SSU rRNA
Rfam family: Bacterial small subunit ribosomal RNA
Source: RNAcentral
AGCGAACGCUGGCGGCAUCUGCUUAACACAUGCAAGUCGAACGGACUUUAUGGGCUUGCCCAUAAGGUUAGUGGCAGACUUGGGUGAGUAACACGUGGGAACUUGCCCUUUAGACUGGGACAACCAUUGGAGACGAUGGCUUAAAUACCGGAUACGCCCUGAGGGGGAAAGGAGAAAUCCGCUAAAGGAGAGGCCCGCGGCAGGGAUUAGGUAGUAGGUGAGGUAAAAGCUCCCCUAGCCGAUGAUCUGUAGCUGGUUUGAGAGGCCACGAACAGCCACACUGGGACUGAGACACGGCCCAGACUCCUACGGGAGGCAGCAGUGGGGCUAAUAUUGGACAAUGGGGGAAACCCUGAUCCAGCAAUGCCGCGUGAAUGAAGAAGGCCUUACAGGGUUGUAAAGUUCUUUUCUUCGUGACGAUAAUGACGGUAACGAAGGAAUAAGCCCCGGCGCUAACUCUGUGCCAGCAGCCGCGGUAAUACAGAGGGGGCAAGCGUUGUCCGGAAUAACUGGUCGCGUAAAGGACGCGUAGGCGGUUUUUUAAGUCGGAUGUGAAAUCCCUGGGCUCAACCUAGCCGAAUAGCAUACGAUACUGGAAGACUAGAGACCGAGAGAGGAAAGCGGAAUUACGAGUGUACCGAGGUGAAAUUCGU